AUUAGUGGCGUUUAGUAAAUGUAACACCCUCCAUUUUCCAUCAAAAAAAUGUUUGAUUACCCGCUCUUCUAACAAUUUGAAAAUCUAAUAAAAUGGUGAAAAGCUGCUCAUUGAAAUGUAACCUCGAGGGUGACUCGGAGUUGGUAAAAGCAAAAGCUUCUAAUAUUCCAGUAAAAUUCAAGAAUCUUGUUGAAGUGGCUGCCACGAUUCGUAAUAUGACUGUCCAAAGAGCAAAUUCUUAUUUGAAGAAUGUUUUACUUCACAAGGAAUGUAUUCCAUUCAGAAAAUUUAAAAGUGGAGUGGGAAAAUGUUCUCAGGCAAAGCAGUUCAAACUAGUAAAUGGACGCUGGCCGAAGAAUAGUGCAAAGUGUAUGAUAGACCUAUUGCGAAAUGUAUCAGCUAAUUGUGAAUAUCAUGGUAAAGAUCCAGCAGAUUUUUUUAUUCAUCACAUUCAAGUCAACCAAGCUCCUACUUCUACUAGAAGAACCUACAGAGCCCAUGGGAGAAUAAAUUCUUAUAUGCGUCAUAACAGCCAUAUUCAGAUUGUCCUCAAAGAAAAAUAAUACUAAAAUAUGUUCUGUAACAUUUGAAGCUGUUCUUUAUUAAAUAAUAGAAAGUUCAGUUGUGA
This is a long non-coding RNA of Leptinotarsa decemlineata (Colorado potato beetle), 628 nucleotides long. NCBI's taxonomy places the organism in Eukaryota, Metazoa, Arthropoda, Insecta, Coleoptera, Chrysomelidae. The record is from RefSeq and is a predicted model, not a curated record.